AAAGUCGUAACAAGGUAACCGUAGGUGAACCUGCGGUUGGAUCAUUAACAAAAAUUGGAGUAGCGGAGCUUCGGCUCCCUAUUUUAAACACCAAUUGUGAACCUGUAUUAUUGUUUCUUGGUUGAUUAUUAAUUUUUAACUUUAACUAGUUGGAGGUUGAUUUCAGCCAAACAUUUUUUAAACUUAGCACUACAACAUUUUGACCAUUAAAUAAAAGUUUGAAAUUUUUUUUAAACAUUAAACAAAUUAAAAAAACAACUUUUGGCAACGGAUCUCUAGGCUCUU
RNAcentral lists this unclassified non-coding RNA (285 nucleotides) under Chytridiomycota sp. RNAcentral's name for it is "partial contains small subunit ribosomal RNA, internal transcribed spacer 1, and 5.8S ribosomal RNA". The stretch from base 1 to 47 matches the Rfam family "Eukaryotic small subunit ribosomal RNA", at positions 1785 to 1831 of the family's 1831-position model. The record is from RNAcentral. Lineage: Eukaryota; Fungi; Chytridiomycota.